UGCGCAGGCGGCCUGGUAAGUCAGGGGUGAAAUAUGACGGCUCAACCGUCAAACUGCCCCUGAAACUGUCAGGCUUGAGUCCGGGAGAGGUAGGUGGAAUUCCAGGUGUAGCGGUGAAAUGCGUAAAUAUCUGGAGGAACACCGGUGGCGAAGGCGGCCUACUGGCCCGGAACUGACGCUCAGGCACGAAAGCUAGGGGAGCGAAC
This 206-nucleotide ribosomal RNA is filed under the name uncultured bacterium. RNAcentral's name for it is "partial 16S ribosomal RNA". It matches the Rfam family "Bacterial small subunit ribosomal RNA", at positions 568 to 773 of the family's 1533-position model. The record is from RNAcentral.